CUGGGCUUGAACUGUGGUGGCCUGGUCUGGAAACAGGUCUUCUCCUUCGGGAGCCGCCACAGAGGUGCUGCAUGGCUGUCGUCAGCUCGUGUGGUGACAUGUUGGGUUAAGUCCCGCAACGAGCGCAACCCUUGUCCUUAGUUGCCAGCAUUCAGUUGGGCUCUCUAAGGAGACUGCCGUGGUUAACACGGAGGAAGGUGGGGAUGACGUCAAGUCCUCAUGGCCCUUACGGCCUGGGCCACACACGUGCUACAAUGGACGGUACAAAGCGUCGCCAACCCGCGAGGGGGAGCCAAUCGCAAAAAACCGUUCUCAGUUCGGAUUGCAGGCUGCAACUCGCCUGCAUGAAGCUGGAAUCGCUAGUAAUGCUAUAUCAGGACGAUAGCGUGAAUACGUUCCC
This 400-nucleotide ribosomal RNA is filed under the name uncultured bacterium. Its description in RNAcentral is "bacterial SSU rRNA". It matches the Rfam family "Bacterial small subunit ribosomal RNA", at positions 975 to 1375 of the family's 1533-position model. The record is from RNAcentral.